Molecule: ribosomal RNA, 680 nt
Filed under: Bacillus mycoides
Lineage: Bacteria; Bacillati; Bacillota; Bacilli; Caryophanales; Bacillaceae
Description: bacterial SSU rRNA
Rfam family: Bacterial small subunit ribosomal RNA
Source: RNAcentral
ACUGGCGGCGUGCCUAAUGCAUGCAAGUCGCAAGUCGAGCGAAUGGAUUAAGAGCUUGCUCUUAUGAAGUUAGCGGCGGACGGGUGAGUAACACGUGGGUAACCUGCCCAUAAGACUGGGAUAACUCCGGGAAACCGGGGCUAAUACCGGAUAAUAUUUUGAACUGCAUGGUUCGAAAUUGAAAGGCGGCUUCGGCUGUCACUUAUGGAUGGACCCGCGUCGCAUUAGCUAGUUGGUGAGGUAACGGCUCACCAAGGCAACGAUGCGUAGCCGACCUGAGAGGGUGAUCGGCCACACUGGGACUGAGACACGGCCCAGACUCCUACGGGAGGCAGCAGUAGGGAAUCUUCCGCAAUGGACGAAAGUCUGACGGAGCAACGCCGCGUGAGUGAUGAAGGCUUUCGGGUCGUAAAACUCUGUUGUUAGGGAAGAACAAGUGCUAGUUGAAUAAGCUGGCACCUUGACGGUACCUAACCAGAAAGCCACGGCUAACUACGUGCCAGCAGCCGCGGUAAUACGUAGGUGGCAAGCGUUAUCCGGAAUUAUUGGGCGUAAAGCGCGCGCAGGUGGUUUCUUAAGUCUGAUGUGAAAGCCCACGGCUCAACCGUGGAGGGUCAUUGGAAACUGGGAGACUUGAGUGCAGAAGAGGAAAGUGGAAUUCCAUGUGUAGCGGUGAAAUG